This 534-nucleotide ribosomal RNA is filed under the name Penicillium raistrickii. RNAcentral's name for it is "eukaryotic LSU rRNA". The stretch from base 179 to 332 matches the Rfam family "5.8S ribosomal RNA". Lineage: Eukaryota; Fungi; Ascomycota; Eurotiomycetes; Eurotiales; Aspergillaceae. The record is from RNAcentral.
GGAUUAAAUGGGGUGAAGGCUCUGGGUCCACCUCCCACCCGUGUUUAUUAUACCUUGUUGCUUCGGCGGGCCCGCCGUCAGGCCGCCGGGGGGCUUCUGCCCCCGGGCCCGCGCCCGCCGAAGACAUCUCGAACUCUGUCUGAAGAUUGUAGUCUGAGUAUAAAUAUAAAUUAUUUAAAACUUUCAACAACGGAUCUCUUGGUUCCGGCAUCGAUGAAGAACGCAGCGAAAUGCGAUACGUAAUGUGAAUUGCAGAAUUCAGUGAAUCAUCGAGUCUUUGAACGCACAUUGCGCCCUCUGGUAUUCCGGAGGGCAUGCCUGUCCGAGCGUCAUUGCUGCCCUCAAGCACGGCUUGUGUGUUGGGCCCCGUCCUCCGAUCCCGGGGGACGGGCCCGAAAGGCAGCGGCGGCACCGCGUCCGGUCCUCGAGCGUAUGGGGCUUUGUCACCCGCUCUGUAGGCCCGGCCGGCGCUUGCCGAUCAACCAAAUUUUUAUCCAGGUUGACCUCGGAUCAGGUAGGGAUACCCGCUGAACU